UAUAGGGGAGCCGGAGGGAAACCGAGUCUUAAUUGGGCGUUAAGUUGCAGGGUAUAGACCCGAAACCCGGUGAUCUAGCCAUGGGCAGGUUGAAGGUUGGGUAACACUAACUGGAGGACCGAACCGACUAAUGUUGAAAAAUUAGCGGAUGACCUGUGGCUGGGGGUGAAAGGCCAAUCAAACCGGGAGAUAGCUGGUUCUCCCCGAAAGCUAUUUAGGUAGCGCCUCGUGAAUUCAUCUCCGGGGGUAGAGCACUGUUUCGGCUAGGGGGCCAUCCCGGCUUACCAACCCGAUGCAAACUGCGAAUACCGGAGAAUGUUAUCACGGGAGACACACGGCGGGUGCUAACGUCCGUCGUGAAGAGGGAAACAACCCAGACCGCCAGCUAAGGUCCCAAAGUCAUGGUUAAGUGGGAAACGAUGUGGGAAGGCCCAGACAGCCAGGAUGUUGGCUUAGAAGCAGCCAUCAUUUAAAGAAAGCGUAAUAGCUCACUGGUCGAGUCGGCCUGCGCGGAAGAUGUAACGGGGCUAAACCAUGCACCGAAGCUGCGGCAGCGACGCUUAUGCGUUGUUGGGUAGGGGAGCGUUCUGUAAGCCUGUGAAGGUGUGUCGUGAGGCAUGCUGGAGGUAUCAGAAGUGCGAAUGCUGACAUAAGUAACGAUAAAGCGGGUGAAAAGCCCGCUCGCCGGAAGACCAAGGGUUCCUGUCCAACGUUAAUCGGGGCAGGGUGAGUCGACCCCUAAGGCGAGGCCGA
RNAcentral lists this ribosomal RNA (753 nucleotides) under Salmonella enterica subsp. enterica serovar Paratyphi B var. L(+) tartrate +. RNAcentral's name for it is "partial 23S ribosomal RNA". It matches the Rfam family "Bacterial large subunit ribosomal RNA", at positions 656 to 1405 of the family's 2925-position model. Lineage: Bacteria; Pseudomonadati; Pseudomonadota; Gammaproteobacteria; Enterobacterales; Enterobacteriaceae. The record is from RNAcentral.